RNAcentral lists this ribosomal RNA (497 nucleotides) under uncultured bacterium. RNAcentral describes it as "partial 16S ribosomal RNA". It matches the Rfam family "Bacterial small subunit ribosomal RNA", at positions 28 to 508 of the family's 1533-position model. The record is from RNAcentral.
GAUGAACGCUGGCGGCGUGCCUAAUACAUGCAAGUCGAGCGAACGGACGAGGAGCUUGCUUCUCUGAUGUUAGCGGCGGACGGGUGAGUAACACGUGGAUAACCUACCUAUAAGACUGGGAUAACUUCGGGAAACCGGAGCUAAUACCGGAUAAUAUUUUGAACCGCAUGGUUCAAAAGUGAAAGACGGUCUUGCUGUCACUUAUAGAUGGAUCCGCGCUGCAUUAGCUAGUUGGUAAGGUAACGGCUUACCAAGGCAACGAUGCGUAGCCGACCUGAGAGGGUGAUGGGCAACACUGGAACUGGACAACGGCCAGGACCCCACCGGAGGGAGGAGGAAGGGAACCUUCGGAAUUGGGGGAAGGCCUAACGGGCCAAGGCGGGUGGGUGAAGAAGGUCUUCCGAAUCGAAAACCCUGUUAUUUGGGAAGAACAUAAGGUUAAGUAACUGUGGACCUCCUGACGGUACCCAAACAGAAAGCCACGGCUAACCUAGGUC